ACCUCAUGGUUCAGGCAUUGCAUAUGUUUGUCAUUGAACCUUUGUCAUACCUCAUAUAAGGGCUCACUACUAAGUUGAUGAAAAAUUGUGAUUUCUUCUCUAAGUU
Non-coding RNA from Capsicum annuum, 106 nucleotides. The record is from Rfam. NCBI's taxonomy places the organism in Eukaryota, Viridiplantae, Streptophyta, Magnoliopsida, Solanales, Solanaceae.